Molecule: long non-coding RNA, 609 nt
Organism: Triticum dicoccoides
Lineage: Eukaryota; Viridiplantae; Streptophyta; Magnoliopsida; Poales; Poaceae
Exons: 4
Source: RefSeq, a predicted model, not a curated record
CCUCCUGUUUCAUUGGCAUCCAGCUGCCGCGGCGGCUCACAUGGAUGGACGGCUACAGCGGCGGCUAAGAACAGUUCGAUCGGAAGGUCCAUCUUCUCAUCGCCAAUUGUGAUGACGUGAACCAGGUUGCUUUUCGGCACGGUGGCCAUGGGUGAAAUAAGAUCGGAGGUGCACUCCAGCGACGCCUUGUUCUUUUUCCCGUUGAUGUGAAUCCUGCUCCAAGUUCUCCAACUGCAAUUAGCUGCUUUUGAAGCCCACCAAUCAUAUGCCAGGUUAUGCCAAGAACCACCACAGAUCUGGAGGAUGCCUUCUAUGCCCAUAUGCAACAUGCAAAUAGUCCAAAAUUUAGAUUUGGGGAUUUUUCUUCUGUUCAUGUGUGUACGUCUUUGGGUACAUUACGCCGCCGCCGCCGGCCAUGUGCGGUGGAGCGGCCAUGGUGAAGUUUGAUGCAUGCACGACGAGUGAUCUCAUGUUUCUUAUUGAUGAUGACGUAUAUGUUCUCUGCGAAAAAAUUGAUGAUGUAUAUGUACUCCUUCUGAUGCAUAUGAACUGAUUUUUUUUUAUAAACUUACCUUUUAUUUCAGAUGAAUAUACUAAUUGUUCUGUGAA